Molecule: ribosomal RNA, 497 nt
Filed under: uncultured bacterium
Lineage: Bacteria
Description: partial 16S ribosomal RNA
Rfam family: Bacterial small subunit ribosomal RNA
Source: RNAcentral
GAUGAACGCUGGCGGCGUGCCUAAUACAUGCAAGUCGAGCGAACAGACGAGGAGCUUGCUCUUCUGACGUUAGCGGCGGACGGGUGAGUAACACGUGGAUAACCUAUCUAUAAGACUGGGAUAACUUCGGGAACCCGGAGCUAAUACCGGAUAAUAUAUUGAACCGCAUGGUUCAAUAGUGAAAGACGGUUUUGCUGUCACUUAUAGAUGGAUCCGCGUCGCAUUAGCUAGUUGGUAAGGUAACGGCUUACCAAGGCGACGAUGCGUAGCCGACCUGAGAGGGUGAUCGGCCACACUGGAACUGAGACACGGUCCAGACUCCUACGGGAGGCAGCAGUAGGGAAUCUUCCGCAAUGGGCGAAAGCCUGACGGAGCAACGCCGCGUGAGUGAUGAAGGUCUUCGGAUCGUAAAACUCUGUUAUUAGGGAAGAACAAAUGUGUAAGUAACUAUGCACGUCUUGACGGUACCUAAUCAGAAAGCCACGGCUAACUACGUG